UGGGGAAUAUUGCACAAUGGGCGGAAGCCUGAUGCAGCGACGCCGCGUGGGGGAUGGCGGCCUUCGGGUUGUAAACCUCUUUCAGCACCGACGAAGCGAGAGUGACGGUAGGUGCAGAAGAAGCGCCGGCCAACUACGUGCCAGCAGCCGCGGUAAAGACGUAGGGCGCGAGCGUUGUCCGGAUUUAUUGGGCGUAAAGAGCUCGUAGGCGGCUUGUCGCGUCGUCCGUGAAAAACCCGUGGCUCAAACUGCGGGCUUGCGGUCGAUACGGGCAGGCUGGAGUUCGGUAGGGGAGACUGGAAUUCCUGGUGUAGCGGUGAAAAUGCGCAGAUAUCAGGAGGAACACCGGUGGCGAAAGGCGGGUCUCUGGGCAGUAACUGACGCUGAGGAGCGAAAAGCGUGGGGAGCGAACAGGAUUAGAUACC
RNAcentral lists this ribosomal RNA (425 nucleotides) under uncultured bacterium. RNAcentral describes it as "bacterial SSU rRNA". It matches the Rfam family "Bacterial small subunit ribosomal RNA", at positions 355 to 786 of the family's 1533-position model. The record is from RNAcentral.